AUUGAACGCUGGCGGCAGGCCUAACACAUGCAAGUCGAGUGGAUGAAGGGAGCUUGCUCCUGGAUUCAGCGGCGGACGGGUGAGUAAUGCCUAGGAAUCUGCCUGGUAGUGGGGGAUAACGUCCGGAAACGGGCGCUAAUACCGCAUACGUCCUGAGGGAGAAAGUGGGGGAUCUUCGGACCUCACGCUAUCAGAUGAGCCUAGGUCGGAUUAGCUAGUUGGUGGGGUAAAGGCCUACCAAGGCGACGAUCCGUAACUGGUCUGAGAGGAUGAUCAGUCACACUGGAACUGGGACCCGGUCCGGACUCCUACGGGGGGCAGGAGUGGGGAAUAUUGGACAAUGGGCGAAAGCCUGAUCCAGCCAUGCCGGGUGGGUGAAGAAGGUCUUCGGAUUGUAAAGCACUUUAAGUUGGGAGGAAGGGCAGUAAGUUAAUACCUUGCUGUUUUGACGUUACCAACAGAAUAAGCACCGGCUAACUUCGU
RNAcentral lists this ribosomal RNA (483 nucleotides) under uncultured bacterium. RNAcentral describes it as "partial 16S ribosomal RNA". It matches the Rfam family "Bacterial small subunit ribosomal RNA", at positions 30 to 506 of the family's 1533-position model. The record is from RNAcentral.